AUGGCCGCUCGCAUCGGCGCUGCUGUCCUCUGCAUGGUCUUGAUCAUCAGCGCGGGGCUCGUAGCCACGCCGACCGAAGCUCGCGCCGUGGCACACGUCCUCUAUGCUGCCGCGGUCACCAAUGCGGUCGGCGCUGCCAGCGGCGCCGGCGUUCGUCCGGGGAGGUGGAAUACCGCGAGGAGGCUGCAAGGAGACGCCGCUCACAAGCGGGAGGUGCCGGGCGGCCCGGACCCGGAGCACCAUCACUAG
This 249-nucleotide ribosomal RNA is filed under the name Triticum aestivum (bread wheat). Its description in RNAcentral is "partial small subunit ribosomal RNA". The record is from RNAcentral. Lineage: Eukaryota; Viridiplantae; Streptophyta; Magnoliopsida; Poales; Poaceae.